UUGAACUAAAGGCAAUCAAGCACACACCAUACAGUAGGCAUAAAUCAGGCAGAAAAUGCAUUAAAACAAACUAAAAGUCCCAUUUAGCAGAGCUAUAAAUAAGAGCCUUAAGAGCAUAAUUAGUAUUGGAAUAUGAAUGGGAAAGGUGGAUACCUCCUCAGUUGUACAACCUAAUACAUUCAACUGAAAUGUGUCUUCUGCAUUUAACCCAACCCCUCUGAGUCAGAGAGGUGUGUCUUCCACGUUUAACCCAACCCCUCUGAAUCAGAGAGGUGUGUCUUCCACGUUUAACCCAACCCCUCUGAAUCAGAGAGGCGUGUCUUCCACGUUUAACCCAACCCCUCUGAAUCAGAGAGGUGUGUCUUCCACGUUUAACCCAACCCCUCUGAAUCAGAGAGGUGUGUCUUCCACGUUUAACCCAACCCCUCUGAAUCAGAGAGGUGUGUCUUCCACGUUUAACCCAACCCCUCUGAAUCAGAGAGGUGUGUCUUCCACGUUUAACCCAACCCCUCUGAAUCAGAGAGGUGUGUCUUCCACGUUUAACCCAACCCCUCUGAAUCAGAGAGGUGUGUCUUCCACGUUUAACCCAACCCCUCUGAAUCAGAGAGGUGUGUCUUCCACGUUUAACCCAACCCCUCUGAAUCAGAGAGGUGUGUCUUCCACGUUUAACCCAACCCCUCUGAAUCAGAGAGGUGUGUCUUCCACGUUUAACCCAACCCCUCUGAAUCAGAGAGGUGUGUCUUCCACGUUUAACCCAACCCCUCUGAAUCAGAGAGGUGUGUCUUCCACGUUUAACCCAACCCCUCUGAAUCAGAGAGGUGUGUCUUCCACGUUUAACCCAACCCCUCUGAAUCAGAGAGGUGUGUCUUCCACGUUUAACCCAACCCCUCUGAAUCAGAGAGACACUCACGGCUCAUCCAUCCGUUGAUCUAUUACUUCACAGGAACACAAACACUGUGCUUCCUCCUGUCACUUCUCACACUACAUAAACUAACAGAUACUUAUUCACUAUUGUUCAUUUGGAAAUAAGAUACAUGUUUGCAACGGUCGUACUGCGGGGGAUUCUGUCUCUGGCAGCUGAUACGGUCUGUAGGAAAGUCCAUAUCAACACACAUAAUAGGACUAGAAGCACACAUCUUGUACACCAAGCAGUGUACCUCGCUGCAAUGCCCGCGAGUGGCAGCAGCGGUCUAAGACACUGUAUCUCAGUGAGGUGUCACUACAGACCCUGGUUCGAUUCCAGGCUUUAUCACAACCGAUCGUUGAUUGGGAGUUUUUUUAUCCUUGAAGCCCUCGAUCCAGUUCUCGGUUUAAAAUAGAGAAGUCCUGAGCAAUCUGUAGUAAAGCAGACCAACAAUUACUUUUCCAUUACAGUUACUCAUUAGUCUGGCUAACACCUUAACUCUCAAAGUCAUCCUGACAUCUGGAAUGUCUCUUUGAUAUAGUCGGCACAAUGUGUCAAUAAUGACGGGGGCUGUGCUUUUCCUGGUUGGCUCUCCUGUUCACGAUUCAACCCAAUGAUUCAAGAUUCAACCCAAUGAUUCACGAUUCAACCCAAUGAUUCACGAUUCAACCCAACGAUUCAAGAUUCAACCCAAUGAUUCAAGAUUCAACCCAAUGAUUCACGAUUCAACCCAAUGAUUCA
This is a long non-coding RNA of Oncorhynchus keta (chum salmon), 1645 nucleotides long. RefSeq lists it as uncharacterized. The record is from RefSeq and is a predicted model, not a curated record. The transcript has 3 exons. NCBI's taxonomy places the organism in Eukaryota, Metazoa, Chordata, Actinopteri, Salmoniformes, Salmonidae.